Molecule: ribosomal RNA, 273 nt
Filed under: uncultured Streptomyces sp.
Lineage: Bacteria; Bacillati; Actinomycetota; Actinomycetes; Kitasatosporales; Streptomycetaceae
Description: partial 16S ribosomal RNA
Rfam family: Bacterial small subunit ribosomal RNA
Source: RNAcentral
CGGUGGUGGAUUAGUGGCGAACGGGUGAGUAACACGUGGGCAAUCUGCCCUUCACUCUGGGACAAGCCCUGGAAACGGGGUCUAAUACCGGAUAACACUCUGUCCCGCAUGGGACGGGGUUGAAAGCUCCGGCGGUGAAGGAUGAGCCCGCGGCCUAUCAGCUUGUUGGUGGGGUAAUGGCCUACCAAGGCGACGACGGGUAGCCGGCCUGAGAGGGCGACCGGCCACACUGGGACUGAGACACGGCCCAGACUCCUACGGGAGGCAGCAGCG